AAAAAAUAUAAAACACAUCCAUAAUUCUAGGCCGUCUCUAGAGUAGGUUACGUGGUCAAACGUGCCGUAAAUUUCUAUGUUCUAUGUUCAUAAUCUUUAUUAGAGAAUUGGAGUUACAUUAUGUUUUUAUCUCCAAAUAUUUUCUACUCCAUUUCUGACCUUCACUAACUCUUUUAGCUUGGUAUUCUUCAUAUUCUCUCAUCAUUUCCGGUGGUUAAUAGCUUUAAUUCGGGAGUAAUAUAUUUAUUUUCUAUCCGUGCUGGCUCUUAACAGGAGGUGUAUACACUCUAUAGCCACUUUAUUAGCACACCAGUACACUUGCUCAUUAAUGCAAAUAUCUAAUAAUGUGGCAGCAACUCAAUGCAUAAAAGCAUGCAGACAUGGUCAAGAGGUUCGGUUAUUGUUCAGACUAAACAUCAGAAUGGGAAAGAAAUGUGAUCUAAGUGACUUUAACCAUGGAAUGAUUGUUGGUGCCAGAUGAGGUGGUUUGAGUAUCUCAGAAACUACUGAUCUCCUGGGAUUAUCAUGCACAACUGUCUCUAGGAUUUGCAGAGAAAAAUGCAAGAAACCAAAAAUAUCCAGUGAGCAGCAGUUUUAUGGGCAACAACAAAUUGUUAAUGAGAGAGAUCAGAGGAGAAUAGCCAGACUGAUUCAAGCUGACAAGAAGGUGAUAGUAACUUAAAUAACCUCAUGUUACAAUGGUGGUGUGCAGAAGAGCAUCUCUGACCACACAACAUGACAAACCUUGAAGUGUACGGGCUCCAACAGCAGAAGACCAGACCAGGUUCCUCUGCUGUACCUAAUAGAGAGGCCACUGAAUGUAUACAGUGUCUUUUUUUAAAAAAAGUUAAACCACUUUGUUUUUAACACAACAUACAGAAGAAUCAUCUUGACAAAUGUAAGCAAUUUUGGGGUAAACUACUAGUAUGUACUCAUAUAAAUGCAUGCAAGUCUAGGAUAUCAAACCCAGAUGUACAAACGUUUGUAUGUGAAUGUGGAAGUUGUAAACCUCAUGUUCAUGACCACAAAUUUUUGGACACAAUCCACUAUGAACUCUGUAUGGAAUCCAGCAGCAAAUCAAGAGAUACCCUAAUAUUUAUUCCUUUGCAUUUUUGGAAUGCUUCAUAAAUUGGCAUUUAACUCCUGUGCAAGGCCAUUCUAAUCUUUGUGUCAUUCCCUACUUUAGUUUUCUGCUGCUUAUUUUGCUCUUCAACCUGGCAGAAGAUUGGCAAGUUGUUGUUUCUAAAUUGUGAUUUUAGAGCUGCAAGCAAGAAUGAAUCUUGUGUACAGGCCUGAUCUCCCUACCCAAGGAUGGAUGUACUUGCAACAGAAGAAUGCAGCAAAGAUUCCUGAGAGGCAAGCAUAGAGGGCUUGUUGUAAGAGGACCGGUUUAGCAGAUUAAAUAUGUAAGUCAUUACUUUUGGAAACUAUGAGGUGAUAUCUUUGAAAUGUGUAAUAUUCUUAUAGGGUUUGACAGGGCAUAAAGGGUGUUUAUGUUUCUUCUACCAGGGAUGUACACAGCCAGACGUCACAGUCUCAAAACAAGAGAUCAUCAAUUCAGGACAGGUAUUAUAAGAAGUGUCUUCAUCUAGUGGGCCAGACUUCACACGCUGGGAUAGGCAAAUCCCCUACCUUACCGAUGGUCGAAGAUCCGUCAGCUACCCUCACCUGGUUUGGCCCGUCUGCCAAGAUGGUUUACUGGGGUGUGGCCGCUGCACGUGAUACAGCUACUUGGAGCCACAGCUUUGGACAUCUCACCACAUGUGACUGCCAGCCCUUCCUGAAAUCAACCUGGUUAAUCUCUGCUGCAUUCCUUUUAUGCCUGAAAUGUGAACACAGGAGAUUCUGCAAUGCAACACACACAAAAUGCUAGAGAACUCAGAUUGUCAAGCAGCAUCUUUCUCUCAUGGUCCACUCUCCACUCCUAUUAGCUUCCUUCUCCUUCAGCCCUUUACCUUUUCCACCUGUCACCUCCCAGCUUCUCACUUCAUUCCCCCUCACCUAGCUUCAACUAUCACCUGCCAGCUUGAACUCUUUCCCCCUCUCCCCACUUUCUUAUUCUGGCUUCUUACGCUUUUCUUCCAGUCGUGAUGAAGGGACUCAGCCCAAAAUGCCGACUGUUUAUUAAUCUCUGUCGAUGCUGCUUGACCUACUGAGUCCCACCAGCAUUUAGUGUGUGUUAAUCAAAUGCGAUGGGAGCUCUCAUGUUCAAAACUCAUGAUGCGCAGAACCCUUUCUCUGGCCAGGAUAUUGAGGCUAGAUGAUUACACAUCAAACCCUUAAUAGAAUGAGCCAGGCGUUGAUUGCGUUACUGAAAGACCGGUGAUGAGCACCCCGCCAAUCACCCAAGACUCAUUCCCUCCCCCACUGCAAAGUAGCUGUAGCGUGUACCGUCCACAAAAUACACUGCAAUCCAACACCGUCUAACAAGCACAAGAUCUUUAUCACAAUGAAGGACAAAGGCAGUAGGUGCAAGGGAACACUAGCACCUGCAGAUUCCCCUUCAACCACAUGAGAACGUACCACUGGUCCUUCAACAUUACUGGAUUGUAAUCCUGGAACCCUUUCCCAACAGCAUAUGGGAAUCUUCACAUGGACUGCAGUGUUCAAGAAAGUAGUUCACCAACACCUUCUCAAGCGCAAUUAGGGAUGGGCAAUAAAUGCUGGCUUUGCUUUCCAUGUCCAGAUCCCACAAACAAAGAAGUCCUCAUUAUUUAAGGGAGAGAGGUCACAGACUACUACAGAGACACACCAUCCUUCAUGGAUAUGUGUACACUCAGGAGCCACUUUGUUCGGUAGACCUGUACACCUGCCUGUGAAUGCAAAUAUCUAUUCAGCCAAUCAUGUGGCAGCAACUUAAUAAUGCAUAAAACAUGCAGACAUGGUCAAGAGGUUCGUUUGUUGUUUGGACCAAACACCAAAAUGUGGAAGAAAUGGGAUCUAAGUGACUUUGACUGUGGAACGAUUGUUGGUACCAGAUGGGAUGGUUUGAGUAACUUACAACCUACUGAUCUCCUGGGAUUUUCAUGCAAAAUGAUCACUAGGUUUUACAGUAAGUGGUGUGGAAAACAAAAGACAUCUUGUGUAUGGCAGUUCUGUGUGCAGAAAGACCUCAUCCAUGAGAAAAGUCAGAGAAGAAAGGCUGGACUGGUUCAAGCUGACAGGAAGGCGACAGUAUCUCAAACAGGCAAACACAUUACAACAGUGGUGUGCAGAAGAGCAUCUCUGAAUGCAUAACAUGUCGAACCUUGAAUUGGACAGGCUACAGCAGCAGAAGACCACACCAGGUUUCAUUCCUGCACCCAAUAAAGUGGUCACUGAGUGUAUUUCAGCUAUUGGACUGAAAACCGGCCAUUGGUAUUCAUUACUUGCCAGCAUAACAACACAUUUCAUAUCAAACAUGAUUCACCAGGCACCACAGUAGAGGACGUUGGAGAUACGGGCUGUAUUUAUCAACACUCCCAGUAAUACGUGGCCGACCCUAUGAGUACCAAGUUUCAUUGAAAGUAAGUUGCUGUUAACAAGAACUUUGUGCAUGUAUAAAAACCCACUUUCUAAUACUGUUGACGAUCACCUUGCUGAUGAAUGAAAGCAGACUGAUUUUGUUGUAAUUAGCUAAAUGAGGUUGCUCCUGCUUUUCUUUUCUCUGGCCACCACCAAAUUGAACAAGACCAUUAGACAUAGCAGAAGAAUUAGGCAGUUUGCCCCACCAGGUCUAUUCCACAAUUCCAUCAUGGCUGAUUUAUUGUCUUUCUCAAUCUCAUUCUCCUGCCUCCUCCCUGUAAUCUUUGAUGUGCUUACUAAUCAAGAACCUACCUACCUCCGUUUUAAGUAUACCCAAUGACUUGGCCUCUACAGCCAUCUGUGGCAAUGAAUUCCACAGAUUCACUACCCUUUGGCUAAAGAAAUUCCUCCUUAUCUCUAUUCUAUUCUCAGGCUGUGCUAGAACUUAUGAGGAAGUUUUAGACUUCCCCCACUAUAGGAAACAUCCUCUCCACGUCCACUCAAUCUAGGCUUUUCAAUAUUCAAUAAGUUGAAAUGAGACCAUCUCUCAUUCUUCUAAACUCCAACAAGUACAGGCUUAGAGUAAUCAAACACUCCUCAUGUGUUAACCCUUUCAUUCCCAGGAUAAUUUUUCAUGAACCUCCUCUGGAGCCUCUUCGAUGCCAUCUCAUCCUUUCUCAGAUAAGGGGCCCAAAUCUCCUCACAAUAUUCCAAAUGCAGUGUGACCAAUAUAAAGCCUCAGCAUUACAUCUUUGCUUUCAUAUUCUGGUCCUCUCAAAAUUAAUGCUAAUAUUGCAUUUGUCUUCCUUACCACUGAUUCAACCUGAAAGUUAAUCUUUUAGGAAUCCUGCAGUAGGACUCCCAAGUCCCUUUGCACCUCUGAUUUCUGAAUUUGCUCCCUGUUUAGACACAGUGCAAUUCAAACUGGAAAGGAGGUCAAAUACAUGAUAUACUGUAGAAUCUCUACCAGAGGCUUACUGUAUCGAUAAUGGACUAGUGCAACAUAUAAAGCAUUGUUGGUCAUAACAAAUGCUUUUUUUCCUGAUCAGAUUGUUUGCAAUCCAGUGUAAAAUCUUCUCUCCACAGCAGAAGGAAAGGAUAAAAAGUGAAAAAGACAAUACCCAGUUUAGCAUACUGUCAGGUGAAUGCAGAGGAAUUCUUAA
This is a long non-coding RNA of Hypanus sabinus (Atlantic stingray), 4667 nucleotides long. RefSeq lists it as uncharacterized. Lineage: Eukaryota; Metazoa; Chordata; Chondrichthyes; Myliobatiformes; Dasyatidae. The record is from RefSeq and is a predicted model, not a curated record. The transcript has 5 exons.